UGGGGAAUAUUGCACAAUGGAGGGAACUCUGAUGCAGCGACGCCGCGUGAACGAAGAAGGCUUUCGAGUCGUAAAGUUCUUUUAUAUGGGAAGAUAAUGACGGUACCAUAAGAAAAAGCCCCGGCUAACUACGUGCCAGCAGCCGCGGUAAUACGUAGGGGGCUAGCGUUGUCCGGAAUCACUGGGCGUAAAGGGUUCGCAGGCGGAAAUGCAAGUCAGGUGUAAAAGGCAGUAGCUUAACUACUGUAAGCAUUUGAAACUGCAUAUCUUGAGAAGAGUAGAGGUAAGUGGAAUUUUUAGUGUAGCGGUGAAAUGCGUGGAUAUUAAAAAGAAUACCGGUGGCGAAGGCGACUUACUGGGCUCAUUCUGACGCUGAGGAACGAAAGCGUGGGUAGCAAACAGG
Molecule: ribosomal RNA, 403 nt
Filed under: Verrucomicrobiota bacterium
Lineage: Bacteria; Pseudomonadati; Verrucomicrobiota
Also listed under: 1 other name
Description: Verrucomicrobia bacterium partial 16S ribosomal RNA
Rfam family: Bacterial small subunit ribosomal RNA
Source: RNAcentral